UGUGUUGGUGGUUAUUGUGUCGGGGGUACGCCCGGUCCCUUUCCGAACCCGGAAGCUAAGCCCGAUUGCGCUGAUGGUGACUGCACCUUGGAGGGUGUGGGAGAGUAGGUCGCCGACCAACC
Molecule: ribosomal RNA, 122 nt
Filed under: Corynebacterium pseudotuberculosis
Lineage: Bacteria; Bacillati; Actinomycetota; Actinomycetes; Mycobacteriales; Corynebacteriaceae
Source: RNAcentral